UGAAGCUGCAAAAGAUUUUUUAGUGUGAUAAGUAAAGCCUUCCAAGCCCAGACUCUUUGUAACCAGUGAUUCUUCUGACAACAACUCGACAUUGCCUUAGAGCCACUGGGUACAUAUUGCUUUAGAGCCACUGGGGUCAGCCAUUCUGCCCCACAUAUAUUGCUUUCGCGUCCUAUUUGAUAAGACAGAUGAUGUAAUACGGGCGUAAUAGGUUUCACC
RNAcentral lists this unclassified non-coding RNA (219 nucleotides) under Hevea brasiliensis (rubber tree). The record is from RNAcentral. Lineage: Eukaryota; Viridiplantae; Streptophyta; Magnoliopsida; Malpighiales; Euphorbiaceae.